GGCUCAGGACGAACGCUGGCGGCGUGCUUAACACAUGCAAGUCGAACGAGAAUCUGUGGAAAGAGGUUUCGGCCAAUGGAAGCAGAGGAAAGUGGCGGACGGGUGAGUAACGCGUGAGGAACCUGCCUUUCAGAGGGGGACAACAGUUGGAAACGACUGCUAAUACCGCAUGAUGCAUAGGGGUCGCAUGGCUCUUAUGCCAAAGAUUUAUCGCUGAAAGAUGGCCUCGCGUCUGAUUAGCUGGUUGGUGAGGUAACGGCCCACCAAGGCGACGAUCAGUAGCCGGACUGAGAGGUUGAACGGCCACAUUGGGACUGAGAUACGGCCCAGACUCCUACGGGAGGCAGCAGUGGGGAAUAUUGGGCAAUGGGCGCAAACGCCUGACCCAGCAACGCCGCGUGAAGGAAGAAGGCUUUCGGGUUGUAAACUUCUUUGUCGGGGACGAGUAGAAGACGGUACCUGACGAAUAAGCCACGGCUAACUACGUGCCAGCAGCCGC
RNAcentral lists this ribosomal RNA (499 nucleotides) under uncultured bacterium. RNAcentral describes it as "bacterial SSU rRNA". It matches the Rfam family "Bacterial small subunit ribosomal RNA", at positions 21 to 518 of the family's 1533-position model. The record is from RNAcentral.